This is a long non-coding RNA of Cygnus olor (mute swan), 619 nucleotides long. RefSeq lists it as uncharacterized. Lineage: Eukaryota; Metazoa; Chordata; Aves; Anseriformes; Anatidae. The record is from RefSeq and is a predicted model, not a curated record. The transcript is spliced from 3 exons.
CUUCUGCAUCUCGGGGUGGGUCCACCGCUGAGAGAAUAAGCAUGGAGCUACCCUGGCAUGUCUUUGGUGUCCACCGUCAGAGCCCGGCAAGAGCAUCGCAGGAGUGCCCGGGCAGCUCCCUACGUGCGGUGUAGCCUCCGCGCCCACCACUAACUUGGGCAGAACCACCAGACUGGAUGUCUUGCAGGCUUGCCUGUAAGACAUUGUGUAAAUAAAUAAUUCUUUUGAUAAUUGUUGAGGCUUGUGUGAGCUCUUCUCAUGUCAUCAUUCUCGGCAGUAAAAGCUGUGAUAGAGAUAGAAGAAGGAGAUGGUAAUGUAGCAAUGAUAGUGUUUGCCUUCCCAAGAAACUGUUACGUGUGAUGAGCCUUGCUUUCCUGGAAGUGGGUGUACAGCUGCCUGUCCAUGGGAAAUAGUGAAUGAAGUACUUGGAUGCAUGGAUUUCCUUUACCUAGUAAGCUGUCUUUGUUCACACUCAUGAGUUCUUGCAAUUUCACAUGUGCAAUUCUCUCCCCCAACCCAACUGGGGAGAGUUAGCAAGUGGCUGGGUGGUGCUGAGCUGCCUGCUGGGUUAAACCACAAAAUUUCCACACCUAUCCUAGACAGCACAUCAAAUUUAAAA